ACAUUUGCAGAACUGUAGAAUUUUGACCAAGCAUUUCCCGCAAAGCACUGCCAGGUGUAGCGCAAGGAUGCCUGCGUACCAUCGAAUCUCUGAGGUGACCUCAGAGCAAUCACGGUGUUGACACUUGCAUCUCUUUGAGGAACAAAACAAGCAUCCUCGCAAAGGAAAACCAACUCAAGUCACUCAGCUGCAGCAAUUGUCAUAAUGAGCCUGAUGGAUGUCAAAGAGGACUAUGGCCCUGAAACACCUGUGUAGCAUUGCUCUGGAUUGCAGUUGCCACAGCGUUUUUUGGAGAAUGCUCCACUUCUGGGAGUGAGUUACUCCUCUGGCACCCAGAACAAGAGUUCGACUGGCUUCCAUAAGAGAUGUGAGAUAGCAUGGACGCCUAUGGCUACUAGACCACCCUCUGCACAGAGUUGUCUACAGAUAACCUCAAAGUGGAGCUAUUUGAACCAACAGUGAGCUGGUUGCACUUGUGCAAAGCCUUGUCUCCUCGAUUUACUUUUUCUGCUCCACAAGGUUCACAUUAAGUUCCUGCCAUGCACACACACAGAAUCUGUUCCAGGGGACUCUAUAGCUGCUCUUGCCAAGAACGUCUUCAACUACUUUAACCUUUUAAAAUCUCUUGCAUUACCAUGGGAGAUGACCACUCCACACGUUUCGCUCAGGUUAACAACACUCUAAAGAGCUCGGCUGGUCAGUGGAAUCAGAAAACACCGAAAAGGUCAAAACAUUCAGGAACUGCAGA
This is a long non-coding RNA of Nothoprocta perdicaria, 748 nucleotides long. RefSeq lists it as uncharacterized. The transcript has 2 exons. The record is from RefSeq and is a predicted model, not a curated record. NCBI's taxonomy places the organism in Eukaryota, Metazoa, Chordata, Aves, Tinamiformes, Tinamidae.